This 305-nucleotide ribosomal RNA is filed under the name uncultured bacterium. RNAcentral's name for it is "bacterial SSU rRNA". It matches the Rfam family "Bacterial small subunit ribosomal RNA", at positions 334 to 653 of the family's 1533-position model. The record is from RNAcentral.
UGCCCCUACGGGACGCAGCAGUGGGGAAUAUUGGACAAUGGGGGGAACCCUGAUCCAGCGACGCCGCGUGAGUGAAGAAGGCUUUCGGGUUGUAAACUUCUUUUGUCAGGGACGAAGCAAGUGACGGUACCUGACGAAUAAGCCACGGCUAACUACGUGCCAGCAGCCGCGGUAAUACGUAGGUGGCAAGCGUUAUCCGGAUUUACUGGGUGUAAAGGGCGUGUAGGCGGGGAAGCAAGUCAGAUGUGAAAACCACGGGCUCAACCUGUGGCCUGCAUUUGAAACUGUUUUUCUUGAGUGCUGGG